CCUACGGGUGGCUGCAGUGAGGAAUUUUGCGCAAUGGCCGCAAGGCUGACGCAGCAACGCCGCGUGGGUGAUGAAGGCCUUCGGGUCGUAAAGCCCUGUCAGGUGGGAAGAAAGGCCUUGAUAAGAAACGGUUGAGGUUUGACGGUACCACCAGAGGAAGCACCGGCUAACUCCGUGCCAGCAGCCGCGGUAAUACGGAAGGUGCGAGCGUAAUUCGGAAUUACUGGGCGAUGAGCGCGUGUAGGGGGAGCCCUGGGCUUAACCUGGGAAGUGCAUUUGAAACUGCAUUUCUUGAGUACUGGAGAGGAAGGGGGAAUUCCCGGUGUAGAGGUGAAAUUCGUAGAGAUCGGGAGGAAUACCAGUGGCGUAGGCGCCCUUCUGGACGGUAACUGACGCUGAGACGCGAAAGCGUGGGGAGCAAACAGGAUUAGAUACCCGUGUAGUC
This 445-nucleotide ribosomal RNA is filed under the name uncultured bacterium. RNAcentral's name for it is "partial 16S ribosomal RNA". It matches the Rfam family "Bacterial small subunit ribosomal RNA", at positions 338 to 795 of the family's 1533-position model. The record is from RNAcentral.